UACGUAGGCAGCGAGCGUUGUUCGGAGUUACUGGGCGUAAAGCGUGCGUAGGCGGUGGUCCAAGUCUGGUGUGAAAUCUCCCGGCUUAACUGGGAGGGUGCGCCGGAAACUGGGCCGCUGGAGUACGGGAGAGGCAAGCGGAAUUCCAGGUGUAGCGGUGAAAUGCGUAGAUAUCUGGAGGAACACCCGUGGGGCAGACGGCUUGCUGGACCGUGACUGACGCUGAGGCACGAAAGCGUGGGUAGCAAACAGG
Molecule: ribosomal RNA, 253 nt
Filed under: uncultured bacterium
Lineage: Bacteria
Description: partial 16S ribosomal RNA
Rfam family: Bacterial small subunit ribosomal RNA
Source: RNAcentral